GAUGAACGCUAGCGGCAGGCCUAAUACAUGCAAGUCGAGGGAGAAUGUUGGAUUCGUCUGACAUGAAACCGGCGCACGGGUGCGUAACACGUAUGCAACCUACCUUUAACUGGGGCAUAGCUCAGAGAAAUCUGAAUUAAUCCCCCAUAAGACUACGACAUGGCAUCAUGAUGUAGUUAAAGCUCCGGCGGUUAAGGAUGGGCAUGCGGUACAUUAGCUAGUUGGUGAGGUAAUGGCUCACCAAGGCUACGAUGUAUAGGGGGUCUGAGAGGAUGAUCCCCCAAACUGGUACUGAGACACGGACCAGACUCCUACGGGAGGCAGCAGUAGGGAAUAUUGGUCAAUGGACGCAAGUCUGAACCAGCCAUGCCGCGUGAAGGAUGAAGGCCCUAUGGGUCGUAAACUUCUUUUAUUAGGGAAGAAAAAACGGGAUGCGUCCUGUACUGACGGUACUUAAUGAAUAAGGAUCGGCUAACUUCGUGCCAGCAGCCGCGGUAA
Molecule: ribosomal RNA, 498 nt
Filed under: uncultured bacterium
Lineage: Bacteria
Description: partial 16S ribosomal RNA
Rfam family: Bacterial small subunit ribosomal RNA
Source: RNAcentral